AAACAUCGAAGGUCGCGGAGAAAAUGAAACUACCAAAACAAUUAAUUGAUGAUUUAUUUCGAUUGUAUAAAGAAUGACAGUUAGCGAAUCUCAAGAUCAACCACUGAGGAUUGUUUGGCUUGAUGCAAUGACCUUAAACAGUGAAAUGAUUUUCCAGGAAGGUCUAUACACAAGCUGGAUUUUAUGGGGUGAUGAAAGAACUAUGAAUAUGUAAAUGGGAAUGAAACAGAAGGAAUUAAUAUGUUCUACUGAUCAUCCAGCUGAAAUCAUGCCUGUGGAAGAAUAGAGUGCAUGUCACAAAUACUGAUAUGAGCAAAUAACUCCAUAUUGCACAAAUAAUGUCAUGUUUCUUGCCCUCAUGACCUGAAAAGUUACAAAUUCUAGUUCAAAUUACAGAUGUGUUUUAAGAAAAAGUAAAACUUAGUCAGCUGUGAGAAAUAUUGGGUAAAAGUAGUGUUUUGAUGUCAUGACAGCUGUGAAGUUGUUUGAGAAGCACUAUCCUAAUUGUUCUAACAAUACAGAAUUUAACUUAUAAAAUUUCCAAAACUGCAUGCAUGAAAUAGUAAGACAUGUCUGUUGAAUGAAUCCUAGUUGUUUCAAAACUACAACAUGUGUGACAUUAAAGCACAACCUUUGGAGGAAACAUUUUUACAAUCAAAACUGCCUUGCCAGUGUGAGUGUAGGAAGGAUUUUUCCAGAAAUGACAGAAAACUACCAAUAUAGAAGAAAAUAUUUGUUACUGGCUGAAUAUAAUAUAUUUUAUUUCAAGAAUUAAUCAUGUUAAUCCAUGGUUAUAAUUGUGUUAAAAGAUAUUUUUACAUGACACAUCAUGUGUCUUGUUUAUAUUCUGCUAAUCAGACUAUGUUCUGCAAGAAAAUAUCUUUUAUGUGUAACCAUCAACAAAACAUGUCAUAACACAAAUCUGCCAUAAAAUGGCAGAGCUGUAAUGCAGGUAGGCAUAUCAGGAAAAUAUGUAGUUCUGAAAGACAAGUUAUAUUACAUAAAAUGAUGUUUGUUUUUUAUAAAUGAUCAUAAUUGACCAUUUGUGGUGUAAAACAAAUGUAUACUGAACAGAUGCUAAAUGAAUGUUCUGAUUCUUUCUGGAAAAUUUACAAAAAACUACUAUUUUAAGAAAAUAGUGCAUUGUUGCCAUGGUAACAUUAAUUUAAUUUUUAAAUUAUUUUGGAUAUCAUCAUAUGUAAACAGCAACUUUCUUGUUUAUAUGUUAUAUAUGUUAAGCUGUAUUAUGUUAGUGAAUAUAUUUUCAUAUGUAAUAAUUGCAUAAACAAAGCACUAUGUUAUUACACAAGCCUGCCUUAAAAUGGCAAUAGUUGUAACUGAGAGAGGUGUAUCUGAAAAUUAUGUAUUUCUCAAACCAUAUUACAUUAAUUUUCACAGAAUGAUGUCUACUCUCUUACUUUUAAAUAAGAAAACAGACAGCUUUUGAUGUAAAUAUAUGGAAAAACACUUCCAAUAUUCAAUUUAUUACAAAGAAAUUGCCAAAAAUGUUAGUAUUUUUGUAAGAAAAUACCACAUUGUUGCCAUGGUAAUGUUAGAAUUUUUGUAAGAAAAUACCACAUCGUUGCCAUGGUAAUGAUUCACUGAUCAGUAUAUCUAGGUCUUUUGAAAUUUUAGCAAACUCACAGUUGAUAAUAACAGUGUAAUAAUUAUAUCUUCUUGCCUGAUUUUCUUUCUUACUGUUUAAUAGAUAAGAUGUCUAUAAUGAUAAGAUAAAUGUCCUAGUUUUUGGGAUGUUGUCUAAUUUGAUAUCAAAUAAAUUCUAUAUCUUGUUCAAAAGAAUGUCAUAAAACAGUUGUCUGUAAACGGUUAGCACACUAGAAAAAGUUAAUUGUGUAUUUAUUUCACAUUCUAUGUAAUUUUUUGCUAGAUUCAUCAAGAGACUGUUAAAAAAGAGGUUAAACAACAGUGUUGCUAUAGAAACGAUUUUUAGAACAUAAAUAUUUUUUAUACUACAUGAAAGAAAGAGACAAAAAGAAAUACAUUCCAUUAAUUGCAUGUUGCUUUUGUUAUUUUAUCAUGUAUUUUAUCUUGAUAUUAUUUAAAUAUGGUGUCAUUAUUAAGAUAUACUGCCUCAAUUUUGAUACAGUUAGACAAAUACAUGGUGUCCGAAAAAAGGUAAUAUCUCCAUGACAACGACUGAUUUUUGUUGUCAAAUUGAAGAUUUUUACUCAGAACGGGUCAGUCUGUCAUAUU
Molecule: long non-coding RNA, 2214 nt
Organism: Mercenaria mercenaria
Lineage: Eukaryota; Metazoa; Mollusca; Bivalvia; Venerida; Veneridae
Exons: 3
Source: RefSeq, a predicted model, not a curated record